RNAcentral lists this ribosomal RNA (433 nucleotides) under uncultured bacterium. RNAcentral describes it as "partial 16S ribosomal RNA". It matches the Rfam family "Bacterial small subunit ribosomal RNA", at positions 29 to 507 of the family's 1533-position model. The record is from RNAcentral.
AACGAACGCUGGCGGCAUGCCUAACACAUGCAAGUCGAACGAAGGCUUCGGCCUUAGUGGCGCACGGGUGCGUAACGCGUGGGAAUCUGCCCUUUGGUUCGGAAUAACAGCUGGAAACGGCUGCUAAUACCGGAUGAUGACGAAAGUCCAAAGAUUUAUCGCCAGAGGAUGAGCCCGCGUUGGAUUAGGUAGUUGGUGGGGUAAAGGCCUACCAAGCCGACGAUCCAUAGCUGGUCUGAGAGGAUGAUCAGCCACACUGGGACUGAGACACGGCCCAGACUGCUACGGGAGGGAGCAGUGGGGAAUAUUGGACAAGGGGCGCAAGCCUGAUACAGCAAUGCCGCGUGAGUGAUGAAGGCCCUAGGGUUGUAAAGCUCUUUUACCCGGGAAGAUAAUGACGGUACCGGGAGAAUAAGCCCCGGCUAACUCCGUG